GACUCCUACGGGAGGCAGCAGUGGGGAAUUUUGGACAAUGGGCGGAGCCUGAUCCAGCAAUGCCGCGUGAGUGAAGAAGGCCUUCGGGUUGUAAAGCUCUUUUGUCAGGGAAGAAACGGUGAAGGCUAAUAUCCUUUGCUAAUGACGGUACCUGAAGAAUAAGCACCGGCUAACUACGUGCCAGCAGCGCGGUAAUA
Molecule: ribosomal RNA, 197 nt
Filed under: uncultured bacterium
Lineage: Bacteria
Description: partial 16S ribosomal RNA
Rfam family: Bacterial small subunit ribosomal RNA
Source: RNAcentral